GGGGAUUUAGCUCAGUUGUAGAGCACGUGCCUAGCAAGCGCAAGGCCCUGGGUUCGGCACCCAGCUCCG
Molecule: transfer RNA, 69 nt
Filed under: Rattus norvegicus (Norway rat)
Lineage: Eukaryota; Metazoa; Chordata; Mammalia; Rodentia; Muridae
Rfam family: tRNA
About the family: Transfer RNA (tRNA) molecules are approximately 80 nucleotides in length. Their secondary structure includes four short double-helical elements and three loops (D, anti-codon, and T loops).
Source: Rfam by way of RNAcentral